UACGUAGGGGGCGAGCGUUGUCCGGAAUUACUGGGCGUAAAGGGCGCGUAGGCGGCCCGCUAAGUCGAACGUGAAAUCCCCGAGCUCAACUCGGGAACUGCGUCCGAUACUGGUGGGCUUGAAUCCGGGAGAGGGAUGCGGAAUUCCAGGUGUAGCGGUGAAAUGCGUAGAUAUCUGGAGGAACACCGGUGGCGAAGGCGGCAUCCUGGACCGGCAUUGACGCUGAGGCGCGAAAGCUAGGGGAGCAAACGGG
RNAcentral lists this ribosomal RNA (253 nucleotides) under uncultured bacterium. RNAcentral's name for it is "partial 16S ribosomal RNA". It matches the Rfam family "Bacterial small subunit ribosomal RNA", at positions 524 to 776 of the family's 1533-position model. The record is from RNAcentral.